RNA transcript from Triticum aestivum (bread wheat), 2329 nucleotides. RefSeq lists it as uncharacterized. Lineage: Eukaryota; Viridiplantae; Streptophyta; Magnoliopsida; Poales; Poaceae. The transcript is spliced from 6 exons. The record is from RefSeq and is a predicted model, not a curated record.
CCCCCCCCGAGCGCUCCUCGCCGCCGCCAGGUCGGGGCGGAUCCACCGCCGCCGCUGCUCCGGUUUUUGCCGACGGCGGUAGAUGAUUUUCUGCGUACCAGGGUACCGGCGGAGUACUCUGGUACAGCUGGGGGCGCAACGCCGAUAAAUUUUUGACGGUGUCGCGCCGCCUUCAAGAUGUUUAUAGAUCCGCCAUGCCGCCUACUCGAUGACUAGCAGGGUGUCCUUUCUCCCUUAAUCAGUGAGGUCAUCUGUUCAAGGUUGUAUCUCACUUUAAGACUGAUUUUUCAUCGGAGGACGCUUCCACCAAGGACCAGAUCCGCCGCUGAUGGUACGAAGCAGAUGCAAUCUUCCGGGCUCGGAGAGGAUCUGUCACAAAAGGGCAGAGCGGCUCCACAUGGAUCGAGUUCCCGGGCCUUGUCCUUGCGCCCGAAUCCGUAAAGUUUGGCUGGUCAGUUCCAUACGGAUCGAGUUAUUGGGUUCUUGGGGCUCGUCCUUGCGCCCGGAUCCGACAAGCGGAACUGCCCCGGAUCGAAAAAGCUCCGAUUCAAUCUGCGGAUUGGCUGCUUCUUGGGCCUGGCCCGUUACGCGCGCUCUCCAUACCAAUAUGCACGAAGAGAUGCAGCAAUGCGCGGCCCAAGGCCCGCUACCGGAACCCACCGGACCCCCCGAGCCGUUUAUGAGUCUCCGUUUCGUUCCCCUCCUUACUGCGGCUCCUUGUGGCUCCGGUCGGGUGGGCUGGCGGAAGGGCGGGGGGCGGAGGGCCGGAGCCAACUGGCGGCGGCGGCUGGGAGACACGGCUGCGGGGAAGCGGAACGCACUGGCGGUGGCGGCGCAAUCUCAGUGGUCAGGGCGGAGGGCCGGUGGCCACUGGCGCCUGCGGCUGCGAGACACAACUGCGGGAAGCCAGAGCUGACUGGCGAGGGUGGCCUGAGGUAACAAUCUGAGAGGUUGAUAAUGGCUGAUGCUAGUUACCGCCGAAGACUGCGGGAUGCAGAAAAGUGUCGCAAUUGUGAGAAAACUGUCAUUUCUCAAACUGAAGACAUUUUUCGCAGGCCCGUCAACAUCCAGAGGCACCUGAAUGACCUUUUCAGAAUAGAAUUUCCCUUAAGACCAACUCCAGAUCAAUUUAUGGAAUUCUAUAGAGUUACUCGGGAACGCUAUGAAGCAAUCUCUUUUAUGUCAGUUCCUGGAGUUUUAUAUGAUGGCAGACCUGUUCAGAUCCCAGUCACGGCCCCUAGUUACAUCGGGGAAGAGACUUACCACACCAUUGUCAUACGCCUUGACAAUGGAUAUGUUGUGGAGUUUCUUGUUCAAGAAUCAAACAAUUAUCUUGUUGGGCUUAGAGUAUAUCGGAUUGAAAAUCAGAGAAAUGCUGCCCCUUGGUUUGUAUUCAAGAGAGUGACAUUACCUCCCUACUUCGGACAAUGCAUACCAAUCAGCUAUCCCUUGAGCUACAGUAAUGUUGAUUAGCGAAACGAAACUUUGUUUUGUACCAGUGGCUUGGUCUUAUUUGGAGCUGGAGCUGUCUCGGCUGCAGUGGACUUCUUUUCCACAUUUCUGGAAAAUCCUCACCAGCAGUCUACAGAUCAGGGUAAACUGCACUGCCAGUUAUUCUUUCUGCUGUUUGGUGAAGGACCCCGGUUCCGUAUUGCGCAGCAGUGGGCUAGAGACAAUGCUCUCAAUGCCAAUUGGCAAAAUCCACAAGCUGUUCUUCUCGAACUACUGCAUGAUUAUUCCAAGCUAUCUGAUUGUUCGCUUCACCUCUAUCAGUAUUAUGUUGAGAUCCCUUUUCUUGAUGCCCUUUCGGACGACCUGAAGGAGCUCAGUCCUUUUGCUCGUACCCUGUCUGAUGCUAAGAAUAGCUGGGAGCAAUUUGAGGCCAAAUACGCCAAAUUUGAAAAUUCUGGCUUGGUCUUCCGAAGAUUAUGUUGCAAUCUUUGGUGGGCGGUGAACUGUUGCUUCUCAAUUACAAUUACAAGUUUUGCACAAGGAUUCAGAUGAGACAAGCAGGUUAUGAUGGUGAAUGGUUUGAAAGGCUUCACAAGUAGAGCAUUGGCUAAAACUGAUGUAAACGACUCAAUUUUGGUACUAGCGCAGUGUACUGAUUCCAGCUGACUUUGGUAUCACUGUUUAUAGUUCAAACUUUGUACUGAACUAUUUCUUCUAGGACAAGCUCUGAAGGAAAGCCUUAGGACAAGCCUAUAUGAACCCCUGAGCUUCAGGUUGCUCCAACAACUGUUGUUGUUUGACAUUUUUGUGUGUGUAAGCUCUGAAGGAAGCCUAUACCGAACUAUUUCUUCUAGUUCUUUUGCUUUUUAACUCUUAA